AUUCCAGCUCCAAUAGCGUAUAUUAAAGUUGUUGCAGUUAAAACGCUCGUAGUUGAAGCUCUGCUAGUGGAAAUGAGUUGACUCUUAGAGAUCAUAUUUGUUUCAACUGGCAUAAAUCCGCUGAAUCUGAAGGGUUUCACCCGGAUGAUGCUCGGAGCUGUUACUUUGAGAAAAUUAGAGUGUUUCAAGCAGGCGUAACGCCUUGAAUACUCCAGCAUGGAAUAACAAGUAAGGACUCAUGUUCUUCUUGUUGGUUUACGAAUUUGAGUAAUGAUUAAGAGGAACAGUUGGGGGUAUUCGUACUCGGUCGUCAGAGGUGAAAUUCUUAGAUUGACCGAAGACGAGCUACUGCGAAGGCAUCUACCAUGGAUGUUUUCAUUG
This 381-nucleotide ribosomal RNA is filed under the name Gregarinasina sp. Its description in RNAcentral is "partial small subunit ribosomal RNA". It matches the Rfam family "Eukaryotic small subunit ribosomal RNA", at positions 582 to 975 of the family's 1831-position model. Lineage: Eukaryota; Apicomplexa; Conoidasida. The record is from RNAcentral.